This 409-nucleotide ribosomal RNA is filed under the name uncultured bacterium. RNAcentral's name for it is "bacterial SSU rRNA". It matches the Rfam family "Bacterial small subunit ribosomal RNA", at positions 359 to 765 of the family's 1533-position model. The record is from RNAcentral.
AGGAUUGGAUGGGGGGAACCCUGAUCAGCCUGCCGCGUGUGUGAAGAAGGCCUUUUGGUUGUAAAGCACUUUAAGCGAGGAGGAGGCUACUUAGAUUAAUACUCUAGGAUAGUGGACGUUACUCGCAGAAUAAGCACCGGCUAACUCUGUGCCAGCAGCCGCGGUAAUACAGAGGGUGCGAGCGUUAAUCGGAUUUACUGGGCGUAAAGCGUGCGUAGGUGGUCUUUUAAGUCGGAUGUGAAAUCCCUGAGCUUAACUUAGGAAUUGCAUUCGAUACUGGGAGACUAGAGUAUGGGAGAGGAUGGUAGAAUUCCAGGUGUAGCGGUGAAAUGCGUAGAGAUCUGGAGGAAUACCGAUGGCGAAGGCAGCCAUCUGGCCUAAUACUGACACUGAGGCACGAAAGCAUGGG